UACGGAGGGUGCAAGCGUUGUUCGGAAUCAUUGGGCGUAAAGCGCACGUAGGCGGGUUUGUAAGUUGAUUGUGAAAUCCCAGGGCUCAACCUUGGAAUUGCAGUCAAAACUGCAGAUCUUGAAUACUUGAGAGGGUGGGAGAAUUCCUGGUGGAGAAGUGAAAUUCGUAGAGAUCAGGAGGAAUACCGGAGGCGAAGGCGCCUGCCUGGCAAGAUAUUGACGCUGAGGUGCGAAAGCGUGGGGAGCAAACAGG
Molecule: ribosomal RNA, 253 nt
Filed under: uncultured bacterium
Lineage: Bacteria
Description: partial 16S ribosomal RNA
Rfam family: Bacterial small subunit ribosomal RNA
Source: RNAcentral